Molecule: ribosomal RNA, 232 nt
Filed under: uncultured bacterium
Lineage: Bacteria
Description: partial 16S ribosomal RNA
Rfam family: Bacterial small subunit ribosomal RNA
Source: RNAcentral
UGGGUAACCUGCCCCUCUCUCUGGGAUAACCCCGGGAAACCGGAGCUAAUACCGGAUACUCCGGCUGGAUCGCAUGGUCCGGCCGGGAAAGGUCCGCCGGAGAGGGAUGGGCCCGCGGCCUAUCAGCUUGUUGGUGAGGUAAUGGCUCACCAAGGCGACGACGGGUAGCCGGCCUGAGAGGGCGAUCGGCCACACUGGGACUGAGACACGGCCCAGACUCCUACGGGAGGCA